AUUGAACGCUGGCGGCAUGCCUUACACAUGCAAGUCGAACGGCAGCACGGGUGCUUGCACCUGGUGGCGAGUGGCGAACGGGUGAGUAAUACAUCGGAACAUGUCCUAUAGUGGGGGAUAGCCCGGCGAAAGCCGGAUUAAUACCGCAUACGAUCUACGGAUGACAGCGGGGGACCUUCGGGCCUCGCGCUAUAGGGUUGGCCGAUGGCUGAUUAGCUAGUUGGUGGGGUAAAGGCCUACCAAGGCGACGAUCAGUAGAUGGUCUGAGAGGACGACCAGCCACACUGGGACUGAGACACGGCCCAGACUCCUACGGGAGGCAGCAGUGGGGAAUUUUGGACAAUGGGCGAAAGCCUGAUCCAGCAAUGCCGCGUGUGUGAAGAAGGCCUUCGGGUUGUAAAGCACUUUUGUCCGGAAAGAAAUCCUUGGCUCUAAUACAGUCGGGGGAUGACGGUACCGGAAGAAUAAGCACCGGCUAACUACGUG
Molecule: ribosomal RNA, 486 nt
Filed under: uncultured bacterium
Lineage: Bacteria
Description: partial 16S ribosomal RNA
Rfam family: Bacterial small subunit ribosomal RNA
Source: RNAcentral